UAAGGAAUAUUGGUCAAUGGGCGGAAGCCUGAACCAGCCAUGCCGCGUGCAGGAUGACUGCCCUAUGGGUUGUAAACUGCUUUUGUCCAGGAAUAAACCUAGAUACGUGUAUCUAGCUGAAUGUACUGGAAGAAUAAGGAUCGGCUAACUCCGUGCCAGCAGCCGCGGUAAUACGGAGGAUCCGAGCGUUAUCCGGAUUUAUUGGGUUUAAAGGGUGCGUAGGCGGCCUAUUAAGUCAGGGGUGAAAUACGGUGGCUCAACCAUCGCAGUGCCUUUGAUACUGAUGGGCUUGAAUCCAUUUGAAGUGGGCGGAAUAAGACAAGUAGCGGUGAAAUGCAUAGAUAUGUCUUAGAACUCCGAUUGCGAAGGCAGCUCACUAAGCUGGUAUUGACGCUGAUGCACGAAAGCGUGGGGAUCGAACAGGAUUAGAUACCCUGGUAGUCCACGCCCUAAACGAUGAUAACUCGAUGUUGGCGAUAGACAGCCAGCGUCCAAGCGAAAGCGUUAAGUUAUCCACCUGGGGAGUACCGCCCGAAGGGUGAAACUCAAAGGAAUUG
Molecule: ribosomal RNA, 557 nt
Filed under: uncultured bacterium
Lineage: Bacteria
Description: partial 16S ribosomal RNA
Rfam family: Bacterial small subunit ribosomal RNA
Source: RNAcentral